Molecule: transfer-messenger RNA, 351 nt
Filed under: marine eukaryotic metagenome
Rfam family: transfer-messenger RNA
About the family: Bacterial tmRNA, also known as 10Sa RNA or SsrA, is named for its dual tRNA and mRNA-like properties.
Source: RNAcentral
GGGGGUGACGUGGUUUCGACCGUGAGGGUUGAUGCUUCGGAAGCGAGCCGAGGUACCCCGGAGUCCUCGUUAAAAGCCGGGAAAACAAUACGUGCCGACUCUGAACUGGCACUGGCUGCCUAACAACUAGCAGCCUGUCCGUCCGGGGGGUCCCUGCCUCGCCGGAACCGGGCAACGCAAUGCAGGGUGCCCCCGCCGGAGUGCCGGGACCGGUGGGCCAAGCUUAAUUCCGACUAGAGCCGUGGAUGAGUUGCUGGCGGUGCUCCUAGGCUCGAAUAAAUGCCGCUAGCUGCGCUCGGAGAUGCCGGCGUUGAAACCUCACGGGACGGGGGUUCGAUUCCCCCCACCUCC